Molecule: ribosomal RNA, 465 nt
Filed under: uncultured bacterium
Lineage: Bacteria
Description: partial 16S ribosomal RNA
Rfam family: Bacterial small subunit ribosomal RNA
Source: RNAcentral
CCUACGGGAGACUGCAGUGGGGAAUAUUGCGCAAUGGGCGAAAGCCUGACGCAGCGACGCCGCGUGAGGGCUGACGUUCUUCGGAUCGUACACCUCUGUCAGCAGGUAAGAACGGUCACUGUGCUAAUCAGCAGUGAAUUGACGGUACCUGCAAAGGAAGCACCGGCUAACUCCGUGCCAGCAGCCGCGGUAAUACGGAGGGUGCGAGCGUUAAUCGGAAUUACUGGGCGUAAAGCGCUCGUAGGCGGUAUGUCAAGUCAAGGGUGAAAUCCCCGGGCUCAACGUGGGAACUGCCUUUGAAACUGGCAAACUGGAGUGUGUGAGAGGAUAGUGGAAUUCCAUGUGUAGGAGUGAAAUCCGUAGAUAUCUGGAGGAACAUCAGUGGCGAAGGCGACUAUCUGGCACAUAACUGACGCUGAGGAGCGAAAGCGUGGGUAGCAAACAGGAUUAGAUACCCGAGUAGUC